UGGUUCUGGCAUCGAUGAAGAACGCAGCGAAAUGCGAUAAGUAAUGUGAAUUGCAGAAUUUAGUGAAUCAUCGAAUCUUUGAACGCACAUUGCGCCCUCUGGUAUUCCGGGGGGCAUGCCUGUUCGAGCGUCAUUUCAACCCUCAAGCCUAGCUUGGUGAUGGGCCUUCGUCUCCUAGACGGGUCUGAAAAUUAGUGGCGAUGCCCUCCAGCUUCAAGCAUAGUAAAUAUAUCUUUGUCUUGAGUAGUUGGCUGGUGUAUUGGCCAAUGAAUUGUAUACACAUUUCUUCUGGUUGACCUCGAAUCAGGUAGGGAUACCCGCUGA
RNAcentral lists this unclassified non-coding RNA (324 nucleotides) under uncultured fungus. Its description in RNAcentral is "partial contains 5.8S ribosomal RNA and internal transcribed spacer 2". The stretch from base 1 to 133 matches the Rfam family "5.8S ribosomal RNA", at positions 22 to 154 of the family's 154-position model. The record is from RNAcentral. Lineage: Eukaryota; Fungi.